RNAcentral lists this ribosomal RNA (481 nucleotides) under uncultured bacterium. Its description in RNAcentral is "partial 16S ribosomal RNA". It matches the Rfam family "Bacterial small subunit ribosomal RNA", at positions 28 to 507 of the family's 1533-position model. The record is from RNAcentral.
GACGAACGCUGGCGGCGUGCUUAACACAUGCAAGUCGAACGGGAUCCGGGCUUUCGGGUUUGGUGAGAGUGGCGAACGGGUGAGUAACACGUGAGUAACCUGCCCCCUUCUUUGGGAUAACGUCGGGAAAUCGGCGCUAAUACUGGAUAUUCUUGCUGCAUCGCAUGGUGUGGUUUGGAAAGGGUUUCUGGUGGGGGAUGGGCUCGCGGCCUAUCAGCUUGUUGGUGGGGUGAUGGCCUACCAAGGCUUUGACGGGUAGCCGGCCUGAGAGGGUGUCCGGCCACACUGGGACUGAGACACGGCCCAGACUCCUACGGGAGGCAGCAGUGGGGAAUAUUGCACAAUGGGCGCAAGCCUGAUGCAGCGACGCCGCGUGAGGGAUGACGGCCUUCGGGUUGUAAACCUCUUUCAGUAUGGAACAAGGAUCCUUCUUUUAGGGGGUUUGAGGGUACGUGCAGAAGAAGCGCCGGCUAACUACGUG